RNAcentral lists this ribosomal RNA (2224 nucleotides) under Epitrimerus sp. NJAUEriWH6. RNAcentral's name for it is "18S ribosomal RNA". It matches the Rfam family "Eukaryotic small subunit ribosomal RNA". The record is from RNAcentral. Lineage: Eukaryota; Metazoa; Arthropoda; Arachnida; Trombidiformes; Eriophyidae.
UGUAAAGUUCAAGCUCCGAUUUGAGGGCGAACCGCGAAUGGCUCAUUAAAUCAGUCAUAAUCUACUUGAUUGUUUGAGGUUUAAAUGGAUAACUGUGGUAAUUCUAGAGCUAAUACAUGCACAAAGGGGGCGACUGUUUAACGACAGAAGCUCCGCGUUUAUUAGACUAAGACGGGCGGGAAGAGUAAAAAUUUCCAUCUAAAUUAAGGGGAUUUGGAGUAAUUAAGGGGUGAAAGCCCAGGCGGCCGAGCGGCCCCCCCAAAUGGAACUAUGUUCCAGCCAGCCAAAUCAAUCGAGUGUCUGCUCUAUCAACUGUGGAUGGUAGGAUAAUUGCCUACCAUGGUGAUGACGGGUAACGGGGAGUUAGGGCUCGACUCCGGAGAACAAGCCUGAGAAACGGCUAGUAGGACUAAGGUCUGCAGCAGGCGCGAAACUUACACAAUGCUAGAUUACAAUUAGCGAUGUAGUGAAGAAAAAUAACGAUGUACUUACAUUUAAACAUGUUAGUAUAAUUGGAAUGAGACGACUAUAAACCAGUUAGUCGAGUAACAAAUGGAGGGCAAGUCUGGUGCCAGCAGCCGCGGUAAUUCCAGCUCCAUUAGCAUACAUUAAAGUUGUUGCGGUUAAAAAGCUCGUAGUUGAAUUUGAAGCGGGCUCUAUUGGGCGGGUGUCGUAAAGGUGGAUGUUCCACUUAGGUGAUCUUCCGCUGGCGCUCGCUUCCAUUAGGAACCCGCUGUUUCGUCACUUCAUUCAGUGCGAAGCGGGCCGGUGCGAGAUAUCUUUAAUUAGAAAUCACACAACGGCAUGUUUACCUUGAGAAAAUUAGAGUGCUCACAGCAGGCAGUUGGGGUGUAAAAGCUCCUUUAUGCUUGAAUAAUGUUGCAUGGAAUAAUAGAAUACGGCCUCGGUUCUAUUCUGUUGGUCUUAUAGAACAACAAACAAGUUGGCAAAAGGCGAUCAAAAGUUUGCUGGUAGCGUGAGUUGGACCAAAGGUUGAGUUGCCUGGAAAAAUUCUUUUUUUCAGACCCUCCCCUAUAAUCCCUCUCAUCGAGCGCUGCCUUCACCCCCGCCCCCCCCAUGUGACGCAGUGGUUAAAAAAAAUACUCGCGGCGGCCUCUAUAGUGCCUCGUGAGAGGUGAAAUUCUUACACCGAUGCAAGACUAACUGAAGCGAAAGCGUUUGCCGAGGAUAUUUUCAUUAAUCAAGAACGAAAGUUAGAGGUUCGAAGGCGAUCAGAUACCGCCCUAGUUCUAACCAUAAACGUUGCCAACUAGCAAUUGGGUUGCGAUUCCUUUAAUCGAGGCCUAAUAAACCUCGAUCAUUAUGAUCCACCCAGCGGCUCUCGUAGGGAAACCAAAGUGUUUGGGUUCCGGGGGAAGUAUGAUUGCAAAGUUGAAACUUAAAGGAAUUGACGGAAGGGCACCACCAGGAGUGGAGCCUGCGGCUUAAUUUGACUCAACACGGGGAAACUUACUAGAUUAGAACUCUGGAAUGAUUGACAGAUUGAUAGCUCUUUCUUGAUUCAGAGGAUGGUGGUGCAUGGCCGUUCUUGAUUCGUAUUCCGAAACGUCUGCUUAAUUGCGAUAACGAGUGAGACCUCACCCAACUAACUAGUCGUUCGGUGCGCUGUGGGACGCAAAAGUCUGCUUUGGUUGGUUGUUAGGGAAGAGUCAAAUCCUACUUAGCAACUGCCGGAUCCAGAUGUCCUCUGCUCGUCGGCGGACUUCUUAGAGGGAUAAACGGUGUUUUAGCCGUAAGAAACGAGGCAAUAACAGGUCUGUGAUGCCCUUAGAUACUCUAGGCCGCACGCGUGCUACAAUGGCGUGUGCAGAAAGCUUGUUCGAGGUUCGUCUGGAGAGAACUAAUCGUUUGGUGUUAGGUAGGUAGCAAUAUUUGCUUAGCAUCGGCGGAAAAGUGACUCCAGUUAGCGGGCCGAGAGAAACCGUAGUCGAAAGAUUACGGCAAUCAAAAAUACACGCCGUGAUUUGGGAUUGGGGAUUGCAAUUGUUGCCCAUGAACGAGGAAUUCCCAGUAAGCGCAAUUCAUCAUAUUGCGUUGAUUACGUCCCUGCCCUUUGUACACACCGCCCGUCGCUACUACCGAUUGGAAGUUUUAGUGAGGCAUUUGGACCUGCUGACCUAAGCGAGGGGCAACCCUCGCAGGCUGGCGGGGAAGUCUGUCGAACUCAAACUCUAGAGAAGUAAAAGUCGUAACAAGGUUCCGU